GGGCAGAGACAGAGUUUACUUUAUUGUCUGAAGAGGAAAAUCCUGUCUGGAAACCAUUUCUUCCUAGCACUGCCUGCACUGCACGCUCUCCCCUUCAAAACACAUCUUGAGAAAAAUUUGACAAAGAGUUCUUCUUACACAAGUUACAUGGAUGUUGCUGUGCUACAAGAAAAAUACUUAUUUGGAGACAGACUGCAUCCAUUGUCUGUUGUGACUCAGUAAAGGGCUGUUCAGAGAGGGCUGCAAACUUCCUUUCCUCAAGGAGCGGUGCACUAUUGCUUGCUUCGGAUGCACACGUAUUUCCUGGGCCUCCUCCAAAAUGUCUCCCUGCUCAAACAGACUGUUAAUGACUGUUCCCAGCACUGCCCAAGUCUUUAGCAGACUUCUGACUCCCUUUGCAAGAUUAUAACCUUGAAACAAAGCUUGUGAGGUAGAGGAAAAAAGAGGGCAUCUUCUAUGGCAGUUACUAAGAGCGGUUUUACAGAGAAGACAGUAAGAACUUUCAACUAGGCUCAGCCAGCAAGAGAGAAAUCCCUGAGAGAAGCAAAAAUCACUCACGGCUGCAUCCCAGAGACACCACUGAACAUCUUGCGAUUGGUUUUGUUGGGGCAAGAGUGCACUCUGUCAGCUUAACCUGGAGCUGAUCUACAAGUUCCCAGGUCACAGAACACGCAGCCAAGCACAGCCCUGCCCCAGCCAUGCUGUGACAGACAUUCAGGAUGGAAGGCUAAACCAGUCUUUGUCUCCCUCACUGGCUGUGAGUGGUAUGUUCAAUAUUCCUGUCAAAUACAUACGCUGUGCAGAACAUCCAAGGGUUUGCAGACGUUGUGUUAUUUUGAAUCAACUUAUUAUCCUUAUUAGACCCCGAGGAUCAUCAUUGCUGGUCCUGAAUAAUUCUCUGGGGAGCACAGCCAAAUGCAGUCAUUUAGAAAGCAACACUUUCCUGCUUCCUGCAUGUGUAUUCAUAUCAACAACUAUCGGUAAGCUCUACAAACUGGGGAGUAUAAACAGAUCAUUUCAGAGGAAGAUUUCAUUCUAUGAAUGACUUCUGUUUCAAUCUACAAAGGUGUUGUUUUUACAUAAAGUCUCUGUGCAACACAUGCCGAUAUUUCACGCUUAGGUUUCUGUUGCAGUCCAUUUCUUGGGGACUAUGAAAUGAUAGUACUGGAUUAAACUUCACUGCUUCUAAGGCACCUAGUUUCUAUCUGCUAUUGCAUAGAUAAGGGAUGGUGAGAGACUCAUAACAAGAAAAACCAAAAAACUUUAUAAUAAGCUUGUAUUAAAGUGGUCUGUUUGGCUUUCACAUGUGGUUAAAGUCAGAAAUUUGCUCAUAACCAGAAGCAAAUAUAAGCUCACUACCACCACUAAGUGCCAGAGGCCAACUAAUGUGGUAAUGUGAAAAACUCUGAAUGUUGAGGGAUACAGUUUGAGCAUUAAGGAUGGCAAGAACCAGCCUUGGAGCAUCUGGUUCUGUCACUAUUCUGUAGUAGCAAGAACUGUCACAAACUCAAGGAUGAAGUUCUUCAUGGGCCAAUUAAACCACACCCUGAAGGGAGAAACGUGUGAUAGCAGUGAAAAAUCUUGACGUACAUCCCUAUUAUGAGAAGAAAUAUAACAUGGCACUGUGCAUGCACUAAUCAUUCAUACCAGCACAGAAGAAUACUAGGCUGAACAAAUCAUGAGAUUGAGAAAAUAAGGGAAGUGAAUAGUCUUUUUUUUUUAAAUCACUGGGAUUAUAAAAACCACUUACUUUACUUUAGAUUUAUAUUUAAAUGUUUUGCUGAAGUAAGGUCUUUCGUACCCUAUAUUGACAGAUUGUUUAGGAAUUAUUUAAGUAUAUGGUUUAAAGCAUUUAAAUUAUUUUAUCAGUAGUCAAAAUAUAUCCCAUUUGUAUUUGAUCAUUUCAACUCUCAUUCUUUUACUUUCCAGAUUUCUGCAUUCACUGUUAAUAACCAUAAUUUGUCUUCUGAUACAACCAAGUCAUUAGGAAAUAUAUCUAUGGAUUUGAUCUUUAAAUAAAAUUAGCACAUUACUCUUGUCUGUUUGAGCUAAUCAAAAAGAUUAUUUUAGCCUCUCUGUUUAAUGAAGAAAAGUAUAUUGCAGAAGCAUAUGACCAUGGUUCAAAGCCAGGGAAGACACAGACAAAUGAUGGUAGCUUUCAGACACAUUGCCCUAAUUUCAUUCUUGCAACACCACUGUCUAUGAAUUUGGAAAGAAAUGCACAUCGAAUCCAGAAUACGUUUUUACACAACAUUAUGUAAUCCAAACAAUUGCAACAAUGGAAUAGACUUAAAAGCCUAAAUCUAUUGUAAAGCUGUAGAAGCUCAGGAAUUUCUAAGAAAUUUACCCAGAUUUACAGGAUAUUGUAAUCAAAUCAUAUAGCAACUAUGUUUGAAUUAACCUUUCAUAAACAUGUCUUGAACCUACAUCAUGCAAUUCAGUAUGGCUGAGUUGGCCAUAGCAAUUUCAUAGGACAUUUGUCCGAUGUUUAUAAAGUGUAAGUUUUUGUUUGUUUGUUUAAAGGAACUGUUUUGUCUGUCGAUAGGUUCUAGAAAUACAUAGCACAAAGGUUUAUAUUUUUUGUCCAAUAAAUGUCCAGUCAACCCAGGAAAACCAGGACAAGUCCAGAAGGAUGAGAAAGAAACCCACUUCAUAAUAUUCCACUGUGGUUAAGGUACUCUUCCACAAGCAUCCUAUUCCUAUAAAGUGGAAAGGUAUUCCCUUAAACUAGAAAGAAAAACAAAAUAAAACAAAAUGUUCUGUUGUUAACAAAGAAGAAUAGUACAAGAUAGAAUAUAUAUAUAUAUAGGGUAUUGACACUAAACCUCCCUAUUUAUCUCAAAUUUUUUAAAACAAAAAAUUAAAAAUCAGUACAUAGGCUUUCCAUAUUAAAAAUAUCACUUCCACUUGUGAUUAUUCUCUAAUUUUUACUCAGAUUUGAAAAUGGUAUCUCUUUGGCCAAAGCAACAUGCUUCAUACAGAACUAUGAACUUCUGUUAGCCAGAGAAGAUAGCUGCAUUCCCCUAACUUGAAAGUGAUGAGGCAUUACAAUAACUGAAUUUGUGCAACUUGAAUUACCCAAAUUACCCAAAAACUAAGAAGAUUUUUUAUAUCUAGAUGUUAAUUGGCAGAUAGUUGGAAGAGUGGAAGAAUUCAAGGUAAACUUCAGAUGUAAAAACUGAUAGAACCCAAAGGACAACAAAAUACCUCCCAAACUUCAUAUCCAGACACCUCAUCCUUCCCUCUCAAAAAUCCUGACUCUCACGAAACAGCACAUAUUCACACUGCAUAAAAUCACGUAGUUAGUCUUGCAGAUCAUCAUCUGUAAUGCUCUGAGAAUGCCAUGGUAUUUCUGCCACCACGUUCUGUGAUCUGGUAUGGAAGUGUGUGAGACAAGUUUGCAAUUUUGAAUAUUUUUUGUGUAUGAGGCUCUGUAGCAAGCAUGCUUAUAUCCCGGUACAAGCAUUUUGUAAUUCAUAUCGUUGCAUUGUCCUUCAUUUUCACUCCACACGUUUCUUAGCACUGAUAAUUUUUCUGAGAAGUCUAAGAAAUAAGAUAUGCCUCCCACAUUGUGACAAAGAGUGUCUAAGUGCAAUUCUGUGUCCUCUGUUAGCUGUGAUUUGAAAUGGCAUCUCCCUUUUGUUCCAUCACAGCAAACUUGUGGUAAAUCUUCACUCUUGCAUCAGUCUUAAGUUAGCCCAUUUGCAAUGCACAAACAGCAGCUUCUCCACUUAGCAUAGCUCAUUUUGACUGAAGAUGAGUCACAUCUACCCAAAAGUUCAGUAGUGGCUAUGCAUUUGACAGCAAAACUUUGGAAGCUUUUAGGGAAUUUCCUCACUGUUCCUCUGUAUUCUUUGUCCUAACAACUGCUGUUUUAUUCCUCUUUAUUUUAUUAGUUAUUAUCAGAUGAUAGAACUAUAAUAGUUCAGACCUGGGAGAGGUUGAAUUUUACAUUAUGGCAAAUAUUAAUAAUAUAAGAUGUUUUUGUGCUAUUUGAUUGGAAGAAUAACAGAACAUUUCAAAGAGCUCAAACUCCCCUAGGGUUUACAUACUUGAAAAUAACUGUAUCUCUGAAUUGCCAAAAGGGGAACAAGGGCAAACAACAAACCUUCAAAUUAAUAUUACAUUGGCAGCAGGUUUUUACAGACUACUAUCAGGGCUGUGUGCUGACUCCCUGGCUUAAUGAACAGCUUGAUUUAAAGCUUAAAAUUAUUAAGUGUUCCACCAGAGUCAUAAAUAAUGCAGUUUAUAAUAUUCAGAUUGAGCACAUAAAACUACAUUUGUCUUCCAUUAACAACGCACUUUUUAAGUAGCCUGACCUCUUCAGAUAUAUAAGAACAUGCAAUUAGUGCAAUUUGUCACAGGUCCUUUACAUUUUAAUAAGAUGUAAUUAAUUGUCUGUUUAGUCUAAUUAACUUUGAAACCCUGACAGUUCUUGCUCUCUAGUAUAAAGCAAGCUCCUUAUUUGAAUUGCUAAUAUUGGACAGAGAGUCUCCAAACCACAGUAAAUUCAAAUCUGUGUACCUUUGCAGAUUAAGAGACACUGGACUAACCUACUAAUAUUUGCAUUAACUUUUUCUAAAGUCAUUUUCAGCAAUCUGUGCCAACACAUCUGCGUCAAUAAAAUAUGGGAGUCAAUGUUUGUGAAACAGACAGAGUAGAGUUUCAUUAAUGAACCCACAAUGGUUCUACGUCAGUCAUACUACCCAACUAUGUUUCAUACAUGAUUUAAGAAAUGAAUUAUGGACUCUGCUGGGGAUGUAAAGUCAUUAAGCCCUUUCAAGUUACUCUGCUCAUCAGGGAAAGAUAUUGGCUGCAUGGAAGUAACACUGAACAGAUUUAACUGCUAAAAGCUUUAGAACUCUGAUUUUUUCUUUUCCCUCCAAGCUGUAUUAGAUUAUGAGAAUGUAUCUUGAUUUUAAUGCAAAUUUUUUACUUUAAAAUACAAUGAGUUCUCCCUUGAUGAUUUUAAAUGCUUAGAGGAUUGUAUUUGCCAUGAUAAAUUGCACUUAGUUCAACUGAAUAGCAAAGGGCAGACUCUGAAAUACUGUCCUCUUUUAAAUAAAAUCAUUCUCUGUAAAUGAUCCUGCAGAAGUUAAUGAUCCUCUUCAGAACCACAGAAACAAGAGAAUGCGAGAAUGUGUACAGAAAAACGCAUGUGGAAAGAACAAACCAUUCAGUGAAGUGUUGAUACAUGUUCAAAAAGAGCAUAUAUAAUACAUUCAAUGGAAGUUUUAGCAAGUUGAAAUAAUAUUUUAUUUCUUAUUCUGAAAACAGGAAUAAUUUCACAGUCUGAGCCUUGUUGCAUGACCCUCACAGAAUGCCAAGUAAGGGGAUAUAUAAAUCUCGCCUGCUAUAACACAGACACUGACAGGGACAGAAUGAGCACCAAAGCAAAUAUGAGGUAGAAAUGAUUUUUUAUUACUUUAGGUAUUUCCAGAUGUCAGAUAAAAAUGAGAACAUUGCUAAAAAUUUUACAGAGUGACAGCUGUGCCUUAUGGAUAACAUUCUAUAGUUUGAUGUAUGAGGCAGAAAAUGUGAAAAAUAUUGUGAAGUACCACCUUGACAUGAUGAUGGAAUGCCAAAGGAAGCAUGCUCACUCUAGAGGAAUGUAAUAGACCACUGUUAAAUAAAAGAAGGAAGCUUCAUGUCCAGCAAAAGAAAGGAACAUCAAACACAGUCUUCAGAAGACUGAAAGUUGCAAAAACUUUGUUUCUUUUUAUGCAGCAACCCAAGUUCUGAUGUUUUGUUUGAGCAAGAUUAUCCCCCAGAGUUUCAAUAGUUGCGGAGGACUUUGCAAACAUAGUAUGCCUUUUACAAAACAACAACAACAAAAAUGCAGCCACUCCAGCUUUACAAAAUUUAUAGCAGAGACUAUUACAACAGACUGUAUUUUCUAAAAGCGUUCAAAGUAUAGCACAGGAAGGCUCAAUAAGCAGUAGUUAUGUGGCUAAAGCAAUUUAAAAUAACUCUUAUAGCCUCAUUUAUCAAAAUCUGCUCCAAGCCAGACAAUAAACAGUGAAAAGUUGGAAAUGAAUAAGUACCAAAUCUACUUAACAUGCUGCUAAAUGUCCAAUUAGCAUCACACAUACAUACGAUGUCACAGAUGCAUCCAUACAUUUCACACUUGACUACAGAGUACUAUCAUGUGCUGUCUCCUUAAAGCAAAGGCCACAAGUUAAAACCAUUUUGUACAAUAGGCAAGAAUGGCUGGGUUUGCCUUGUAGAUCAAGGCCACAUGCACACAAUGUUUUCAUUUUAACACCAGUCUUGGAUAAGACUUGCAUCAGCAAUAUCCAGGAGGAAGCCAGGCUUGUGAACAGAAUUUCUACAUGGAACCCCAAGUCCCUCAGCUUGCCCAGCCAAGGUGCCAGUUCUGACCCAUGGGCAGCCUUGCCUAUUGGCUGAGAUGCCACAUGAAGCCUACAAUCACGCUGAGGCUAACUUGUUUGUCAAGUGUCUUCUUCGCUUCCCCACAGUACAGGUACUUUCAGAGUCUAUCGUCAAAAGCAUGCAGAUUCCUUUAGAGCACCUCGACACUGACAGCCUUCCACCAGCAUCAUCUGCUUGCUGGCAUCCCCUCACUAUGCCCGCCAGUGGAUUAGCUGAGUAAUCUGUUAUCUUGCACUUGAUUAAACCUCCAGUGUAUCAGUUCUUAAUUAAUGGAAGUCGAUUCCAUUUCUAAAAAUAAAAGCAGAAACACAGUGGAGCAUUCCACUCUGCUUGCUACAGGAUAUGCAUGAAUAUGGGAUUUUUUUCACUAAAUAAAUAUAUGAAAAUAAAGUCACAGAAUUGCAGGGGUUGGAAGGGACCUCAAGUGACCAUCAAGUCUAACCCCCUGAAAAAGUAGGUACCCCACAACAGGUCACACAGGUACUUGUCCGGGUGGGUCUUGAAUAUCUCCAUAGAAGGAGACUCCACAAGCUCUCUGGGCAGCUUGUUCCAGUGCUCCGUCAUCCUUACCAUAAAGAAUUUCUUCAGCAUGUUAGAACGGAACUUCUGUGUUCAAGUUUUAUGUCAUUGCUCCUUGUCCUAUAGCUUCGCACCACCAAGAAGAGCCUGGCCUUAUCCAUUUGUCUCCUACCUCCCUUUAAACAUUUACAUAUAUUCAUCAGAUUCCGCCCUCAGCCUUCUUUUUCCCAGGCUGAACAGACCCAGGGUACUCAAUCUUUAUCAUACACAAGAUGCAUAUUAUCAUCUUAGUAGCCAUCCACUGGACUCCUUCUAGGAGAUCCCUGUCUUUGUUUGAACUGGGGAGCCAAGAACUGGACACAGUAUUCUCAAUUGCUAUAGGCUGAAUAAACAUUACAGUUCCAAAGCAAACUAACAGCUUCUGAAUAUCACUGUAGCAUGGUGAUCUUACAUGUCAGAUGCACAUGAGGAAAAAUGGAUAGAAAGUGAACAAUGAUUCACAUGAUGAUAAUCAAUAAUAAUAGUAGCAGCAAAUAAUAAACAAUUCUUUUUUUUUUUUUAUAGGAGAUGGUUGGGAAGAACAUUAAUCAAGGCAUCUUUUCUACAGCUUAUCACAUCUUCUCUUGUGUAACUACACCAGUAAACAUUUUUGGCAGUGUCAGAUUAAUCCCAAUCUCCAUUUAUCUUAGCAUAGCAAUAGACAGUAUGGGGACAGACAUUUGUAAGGAAGCAAGUAGUGCUUCCCUCCUUUUGGAAUUUUAAGUCAUUUCUUCCACCUUGAAAUAAACAACUUCUCCAAAUAUUAAUCACCUCAAGUACGAUCACUGCUCAGCAAUAAUAAUGACACCAAUACUGCAGGACUCUAGCCAAAUGUAAACCGAACAGGAAAAAAAACACAACAAACAGAACAAAACAAAAUAACAACAAAAACAACAACAACAAAACAGAACAAAGAACAGUCAAAAUGACUAAUACCUAAAAUGAUGAGAGAAGUUGAAGACAUUCUGUAUUUAUCAGGGAAGAAGAAGCAUUGGUGCCCCACUUCUCCUGUAGGUCUUCAGAAAGACAAAGAACAAUUUUCAUAUUCUUACAUUCACAAUGAACAGACAAAAUUCAUAAAAAUAUGUGCAAAAUUCACGUUCUUAUUUUGUAUUGCUGAGUAUCUCUUAUAAGUUUCAUUUCUAGCAAUAUCACUGACUGUUCUCGACCAAACAGACUUGAAAUCCGGUCCCAGAAUUUUUCUACAUGAAUUCAGCUGGACUACUGGAAGAAAAAAAAGAUAGUACAACUGCUUAGUUUUUCAGGGCUAGGAUCCCAUUUACCUAAGGUUACCUAAGGAAGUAACAGAAAAGGAAAAGGGAGAAACCACAUACGAGGUAGUAAACAUGCUUAAAACUUUUUUGAUCCCUGUGGUUAAACCAAUCAACCAGAAUACACAGUUUCACUGACCAUCUCCUUACCCUUCGGUUUCUUCUGAAAUCAACGUAACAGAAUCACCUCAAGCAUACAAAAUAAAUAUAAAAAAAAUAAUCAAAUGACCAAUAAAAACUGCACACCUGCCUCAUCAUUAGUCAAAGGCAAUCUUGAUAGUGAGGAAUUUGGAUAACUGGAGAAGGGGGGAACAAGAUGGUAGCUUAAAUUUAGGUAAGUUUUAAACAUUCUAGAGUAUAAGAAAAAACAAAUAUAAAUCAACCCUGAAGUUGUAAUAAUUAAGAAAAACAAAAAGAAAUUUCAGUAAAAAUGAGUACAAAGCGUCAUGCAUAAAUGACAAUAGUGAAGAUAGGGCAAAGUAGUAUUCCGCACAAGACUCCACCUACUCUUAACUCCUUUUAAACCCAACAAACCUCAGCCAAAAUACUGCCUCCAUCUGGCACUAGGCGCCUCACUAUAAAGAAUAAAGACUAACUAGAAGUGUAGAGAAUAUCAAUGGGAAGGAAGUUUGCAAAAAAAAAAAAAAAAAGUUGAAGGAGUUAGUUUAGGAACUUCAGAAAAGAUAAGGCCAAAUGGCACAACAAGAGAUUCCCAAAUAUGUAACAAGUUGUUCUUAGCUCAUAGUAAGUAAUCUGUCUCUGCUGGGGUAGAGAGGAAUUAAAUAUUGCAUACUAGUGCGAUGUGGGGAGGAAUAAUCCUUGCUUAGCCAUAAGAGAAACUUUCUUUAACCACUUGGUUUCAAAAAUAUGUCAGCAAUGUGUCUUGUAUAUUUGUUUCAGAGCACAUAAUUAGAUAAUUUUAUGGUCUGAAAACCAUUUUAGGUCAAUCUUUCAAAGAAUUCUAAUAACAUACAGAAAAUGUUGUUCCUAUUAUACAGCAACAUUUGAAUGGAAAUGAACUUGUAACAGUAGUGACAUGCAAGUUAUGAAACUAAAUAAUACCCAAGAUUAAAUAACUUUUUGUAUACCUAUAAGAACAGAAAGUGUUCUUACAUGAAUAUAUUCUAAAUUAAUGUGUGCCGGAGGAGAAAAUCACUGAAGAACUUUAGCAUUGUUGGCAGUAGUUGACAUGCAGGUGUGAUUGAUGUCUGCCUUUCCUCCAAGGAUGAGUGGAAAGCUGGCAAAUGCCACAUAUACAUAAUGCUUUGAAUUUUAAGCCAAAUUGGUUUUCAGACAUCGUACUUGACAUUUCCCCUUCAUACUUCAAAUUAUUCCUUGGUACAAAUUGCAUGUUUAUAUGUGUUUUGCUGUACCGUCUGGUUUGAUCAUAUCUCCUUUAGGCUUUCUUGAGGCAGCUGCAGUUAUAAAUAGGCCAAGAGCACUGCUUGUAGUAAAGAUGAAAUAGAGAUUACCUUUGCCAAAAAAAAAAAAAAAAAAAAAAAAGGAGAAAAGACAAGAAAAAGCUGAAACCUUUAGAUGAAGCCAUUAGCAGAACACUGCAUUUUUAUUUUUAUUCCACUUAUACUAAACUGCCACCCAGGCUUCUACUGUUUGCCUCUAUUAAGAGGCAGCAAAAUAAUAAAGGAGAUCUUUGGCCUUCCUGAUCUGUUUUAUGAAGUUGAAGUAACAAAGCCACAGGGAGGAAUUUUAGAGGGCUCAUUGGCAUACAGCUGGCCCUACUGCAGUGGCCUAAUAAGGUUCAGAAGGAUACAGACUGCGAGCUGAGGAACACAGACGCAAUUUGUGGACAUGAAAGAUGCCAGUGAAGGCUUUACUCAGGAUCUCCUGUGACGCUGCUGUGCUGCUGACUCUGGUUUGUCAUGCACCGUGCCUGUUCCUGAAUAAGAUAACCUGAUCUAUGCCUCAGGCCUUCCUUCUAUUUCAGUUUUUGUUUCAUCAAAACAGGGGGGAUGGGCAGAGAGAAAGAAAGAAAAAAAAAAAAGCAGAGUUUCUAAGUUUACAGGUCAUAUAUUCACUACCUGGAGACAUACACAAAGACUAAAGGAACAAGCGUGACAGCUAUGCUUAUUGUUUCAUUAAGGUCUGUAACUGCAAAUCCUGAGUCUGUGUUGCAACUACUUGGUGAGAUAAAGUCUAGCUGUGGAGUAGCAAAUUAGAAUUAGAAACUGGAAAGAUAUCUAAUGAUCAGCAAACAGACAGUUUGCUUAAACACUUAAGUAUAGCAUAUUGAUUUGCUCACUGCCAUAUUCAAGCAUAACUAAAAAGAUAAAAUCCUGAGUAAAGAAGGUAGAACUCCAGAUAUCGAUCCCCCGACUCAUAUUGAUAAGUGCAAGUUAAAAUGUAAAUAUAAACGGAGCCUCGAGUUUCACCUCAAAUAAAACCCUCAGGCAUGCUGAGGAAAUUUGAACGGUGAAGAUCUGCCAACAGGCAUAACAGUUUGCUGAACUGUAGCACUCCAAUUAGAAAGAUAAAGAUGCAGAGGUAGUAGCUGUAAAACACUCAGUUUCACAACCUUGGCCCUCUCUUUUCCUUCACAGAAAAACAAGAGGCAGCUGUCUGGCUCUGUUAGGUUAGCAGCUGCACGUCCUUCAGCAGUGGAGUUUAAAACAUCUAAAAGAACCUCAAAAUGGACGCAGGUCCUUCUGUUCAAAUCCUGGGACAGAAAAGUAUCAGCGCUCCACAAAUCGCUCAUUUUAACACCAAGCUGCCUCGCAUCAACUUAUUUUAUAGUCAUCAAGUUCAGCGUUAUCGGUGAAUGUUUCAUAAAAUGUCCUGAACCCAGAAUCACCUCUGAAGCAUUAAGCUGACCCGGGGUUUUUUAAAAUUAUAUUCACAGCACUGAUUAUGGUGCAAGCUGUGUAACUUCCUGGCCUGGAGCUACACCUUUGACAUGAAUACAAUAAAUUUGUGUUAAGAAUACAAAAGGAGAGAUAACCAAGUUUCCCAUUCACAACUCUAGCAAGUAGUGCGAUUUCCAGAAGUUGAUUGAUGCACUGAACUCUCAUUUAUUUUCAGGGCAAUUUUACUUGUUAAGAGCUGAUAGGAGUGCUCACUAUUCUAGAUUCUAUUAAAUGCAGAAUAAAAAAGGCCACAGCACUUCAGGUCUGAAGCUCCAACACAUCAUAUUCUUUGACACCAUUCUGUUCAAAACAAGUUCAAACAAAACUGCCCUAAGCUACAGUACAGUAAUCAUUAAAACUAAAUCUAAGUUAAUAUCGAAUGCUGUUAACUUUCAUAGCAGUGCUAGUCAAGAAACACCCUGAUGGGAAGCUGACAAUUUUAGCUGUUAUUAUCAUCUUCUUUCUCAGAACCAGCUGGAUGCUUUAAAGGUGGAAUUGUAUAUUUUCCAUGUUUCGAUAUCAUAUCUUAGCACAAAGGCAUAUCUACACAAAUGCAAGCUGGUCUGUGCACUUCUGUUUAUCUCUUCAACUUGUAAUGAAUCUUUCAUUUUAAUCUAGGACUUAUCAGAAAACAUUAACUCACCAAAACUUCUAAUUGAAUCAUCUGUCAAAGAUUCCAAAAGAAGCAUCAUACAAAAGCACUAUAUACUUCAGGCCCUUUAAUCCCCUGCUUUCUCUGCCACCAGGCUCCUUUCAUAUUCACCUUGGGACUUCGGAGAAGGGCACAGAAUCAUAAAAUCACAGAAUCCUUAGAGUUGUAAGGGACCUUUAAGGCCAUCUAGUCCAACUCCUCUGAAAUGAACAGAGACACCACAGCUACAUCAGGUUGCCCAGGGCCUUAUCCACUCUCUCCUUGAAAGUCUCCAGGGACAGGGCAUCCACCACAUCACGGGGCAACCUGUUUCAGUGCCUCACCACCCUCACUGUAAAAGACUUUUUCCUUAUAUCUAACCCAAAUCUACCCUCUUUAAGCUUAAAACCAUUUCCUCUUGCUCUAUCACAACAGUCUCUGUUCCUGUAGCUCCCCUUUAGAUACUGGAAGGCUGCUAUCAGGUCACCUCAGAGCCUUCUCUUCUCCAGGCUGAACAGCCUCAGCUCUCUCAGCCUGACAUCUCACGUUGAAAAGUUUUCAAAGCAUUCAGAUUCAAACCACCAAUAAACGAAAGAAACAGCAAGAGGAGAAUUACUGCCAACUUGUAUCACUUGAUAAAAUAAUACUUGCUGCACUUAAAUAAAAAAUAAAUCAAGCCAAAGACACAUUGUCCUGAAUUUGCUUAAUAAACAAGUUUAAAAAUUACUCUCAAUAUUGAUUCCAUCAGCAUCUGACUAUAGUAUAUACACACUAGUUUAUACCUACCAAUAAACAGUAAUGAUUUAGACAUCUUCACAUGCAAGACUGUUAUCAGUUCUGACUCUUUAAAAAAAAAAAAAGUGAAAUAAUUUUCUUUUAUAGGAACUAUAAGCAAGUGGCAUGCUAAUUUAUUAAUUCGUACACGUGUGAAAUGUAUGAUUACUAUGUGUUUUUUUUUUCCUAAAAGUAGAGACAUAACAGAAAUAAGGUGUAGUAUUUAAAAUAUUUACCUGUUAUUUUCAUGGGAGUUAAAACAGGUUAGAAAUAGGCAGGUUCGGGCAUUUUGAAUUACAAGUGCUGAAUUUUUAAUGUAUGGAAAUCUGAAUAUUUGCUCUCUAUGGAAAAGCUUAGCUAAUGAGUUGCCAACAGCCAUUUUCUUGCCCUGGAAGAAAACCUGAGGCAUUUACAUAGCUCUUAUUUGUUCUUUAUUUAGGCAGACUUGCUGACUUCAGUGGGAACUUAGCAGUGCAAGAUCUGGAAGUAAAAAUUGAAUGAAGACAUUAACAUCUGUUCACCUGGAAAGAGUACCUGGAUUUUUUUUUGGCUUACUUUAUACCCAGUGCUGAAUAAAACAGGCAAUGGCAUGGUUAUUCACAGAAUAUUGUGAAAUGGAUCAUUUUGAACAACCCACUAGAGAGAUUAAGAAUAGAGGAGAUACCUGAUUUUCUGAACUAUACAUUGAAAUUCCAUCUUUGAAUAGUAGCAGUCAAGCAGAGCUUCAGCUGCAUAAAAGGGGACUACACAAAUGCUUCUAGCAUACUUAAAAGCCUCUUUGUUAUACUGAAGAGACAAACUUAAUAUAAACUAUAAAAUGAACCUCAUUAUACAAUGCUGAGACUCCUACCGAAGCAAUAUCAUGACAGUACCUUAUAAGCUUUGUGCUGAACGAGUGUACUGUUUUUGCCCUCAUUUCUCCUGUCUUCCUGUAAGGCUGAAAAUUACCUAUUUUGGCCUCGUCUCAUACCAUAGCUUUCACUUGGUUAUGGGUUCUCAGGAGCACACUUUGGACUAGUGUUUUACAGAGACAUAUGGUACAGAUGUUCUGUGAAUCCUUCUAGACUAAAUGUCUAUUUACAUCAGUUGCCUGUUAUGCUAACACAGUAGACUAAAUGACUUGUCCUUAAUCUGUAUUCUUAGGGAAAAACCUUUAGCUUUAAAUGCUCUGUCCUACUAUUCUCUGCUAUGGAUGCUCCAAAUUCUUUCUCCUCACUCAAAUGGGCUUUAGGAUGCAAUUCUCCAAAAAUGAUAGUAACAAAAUGUCAUGACUUUAAAUCUCCCAAGAAUCAUUUCUCAUGUAGCUUGCUCUGAAAGUAAUCCCUUCUAUUUAUUAACAUAGAAAUUGCAACAGAUACAAAGAGCACAGCAACAUCAUUUGAUAGAGCAAAUUCUCCGCUACAAAACACUAUUUUUCAGCAUCAUCACCACCACUAUGGAUUUUCACCAGCCUGCAUGCCACGCUCACAGAAAUCUGCACCAACAGAGAUAACCCACUGUUUCACAGCUGCUACUACAGCAUCACUGCUAGGAAGAUGUUGCCCACACAGUCCACACAGUUCAUUAGGCCAAACAGAUAGAAAGCAUCAAAUCCAGACGGCAUAGUGGGUGUGGUAGGACACACUGGCAAUGUGCUCCACAGUCUUUAAACUGAUAUGGGACCUGGUGUUAUGUGUUACAAGAACAAGAUUUUCUUUUUUGGCCUGACACAAGAAGUUUGAGACUUCAGUGUAGUCAGCACCACAGUGUAGCAGUCAGGGUUGAUGGCUUGUCUGGGUUCCAGGAAAUCUAGAAGAAUCUCUCUGUUAAUAUCCCAUAAGACACUGCACAAUACUUUACUCACUGAGUAAAGUAUCUUGAACAUUUUCAGUGGAGAAUUAACAUUUCAUCACUCCAUGGACUGCCAUUUUGACUCUGGCUCAUAGUGGUGACAUUACACCUUAUCUCUCAUCCAGAAAACUGUCACCUUCAGCCUCAUAUUUGUUCAGUAGGUUCUGACAUACAGUGUUGCAUACGGUGUUCUUUCUCCUCUUACGUGAGCAUUCAUGGGGCCCACUUGGUGCAAACUAAUAUUCCAAGAUGGUCACCAUCGUUUUCAAUGCACCAAAGCUGAUAUUCAGCUCUAUACACAUAUCCCUGCUUGUAAUCCAUCAAUUUGCCUGGAUGAGCUGAUUGAGACACUCUCCAUUUUGCGGCGUGACAGCUGGGCAUGGUCAUACAGAACGUGGCCAUUGCCUCAUUGUACUAACACCCACCUUUUAGUUUCUAUAAACAUUCAGUAAGAGUUAAUGCAUGUUAAUAGGUGCAGUCUUUUCUGCAUGUAGGAAUAAAGUGACACACCUAUGCUUCAUAUGCACUUCCAUGUCAGAUGCCAAUUUGUCAGACUGCCCCUCUGCUGCCACCUGUUACACAGCAGUAAAAUGGAAUGAAAUACUCGCAGGAAGGGUCAGUCUCUAGUGCCAUACCAUUAACAUCUGCUUCUGAUGUUGUGGGCCAACAUCAUAAAAUAGGAGGGCAUUUCUUCUGGAGCAGUCCUCAUAGUUUUUGUUUACUUUUCCAUGCAUUGGAGGAAGUUACAGUGACACCUGAGACCUUUAAGUAAUAAAUGCUCCUGACUAGCACAGAAACAACCAACUCCACACAUACAAGAGGAGUACACAAAGAAAGUUGAAAUAAGUUUCUUUAUCUCACUGAAGUAAUGACUAGAUUUUGAAACAAGAAUUCCAUACAAAAGAAGGAUAGUAGCUUAAGCCUUUGAAGGCAAAAAAAAAAAGUCUGAUUUCUCCAUAGGAAGAUCUGAGAUAUUUCUGCAUCUGCUUCUGUUUCUUUAUUUGAUCAGGUAUUUUCAUUAUAUUAAAGGUAUUAAGCAUUCAUAAAUACAAAUAAAAGCAUUCUUAUAAAGCAGCCAAGCAAUGGCUUCCUUUGCAACCAAGAACAACUCUGAUUCUUUUCUCCCCAAUCCCAUUUUGGUUUCUUGAACAUGAAUGUCUUCAGCCAUAAAAAAAACAACACCAAUAAUAAUAAUAAUAAAACACAUAGUAAUUGAAAACUUACUGGCUAAUUUCCAUCAGCUUUGUAAAGUAUUUGUAUUUUAUAUUAUUCUCCUUCACUUGAUUCUUUUGAGCAAGUCACAGAUGAUCAAUUACUCAUUUUCUCAACCAUUAAUAAAAAUCAGGCCUUAAAUCUGAGAAAUCGCUAAGCCCUUAAAACUUCAAAGUUUGACAGCCUGAACUUCCUAUGUCAAAUGGUUAUGAGCACACUUCCAUGUCUCCACAGAUUUUAUAGCACUACUCUUGUGCAUUCUUAAUCUGAAAUCACUUUCUGCCUGAGGCUAGAACACAAAACGUAUCUUCCCAACAGAUGCAAACCUAGUUGUCAUCUAACUUACAUUAAAUGCCAUCUAAGUUAUAGUAUGUUUGUAUGUCUCUCUAUGUCAGUUGAUAGAAAUAAAAAGAAAAGUGCUCUUGGUCUACUCCAUUUAGCCAGAAAAUCCACCAAUAAAAAGGAAUAAAAAUCAGCAGAAUAUCCAAGCUGAUAAUUACUUAGUCUGCUAACAGACUCCAUUCUCAUAUUAUAAAAAUCACCUAAUACAGUGCCGGGACUAUGAACUAUCCAAACAAAAAAGAUAAUCGGCCACGGAUCAAGGAGAAUAUUUCAUGAAAUGUAGAGCUAUAAGGAUGUAAUAAAAUUGAAGCAAUACUCUAAUGAAUAUGUACUAAAUCAAAUAGAAAGGCAUUUGUGAUUUUUUUUGAAUUUAGGAAGAGAAUUAUAGUACAGUUGAGAAAGUGAUGGCAGCACUUCCUGCAGAUAUGCCUAGCUAUCUCAUCAAGCUAUCUAACCUUUUUGUUGGUUUGUUUUUGCCAGUGUGAUCAAAUACUUUGCACAAGAGAUUACAAGAUUGAGCCAAAACACACAGCAGUAUUAGAGGACUAUUGCAUUUCCUGUAGUUGAUUUUAUUUUAUUUUUUUUUAACUGGUAGCUGGAAUUCUUAAAAGAUGCACUCUCAUUACCCACUUCAUAGACAGACUUGAGCUCUUCCUGAUCAUAUAUGGUCACUCUACACUGGUAGUCAAGUUCUGCUAUAUACAGUUAUAAGAAAAUAGGUCUUAAAGGGAAGCCAAAGACCUUAUAGUCCAUCUCCAUAUGUUUCUUAGUGGAUUAAAUGGUUCCUAGUAUAACUUGCCAUUUAUUUGUGAAACCUAUACGAAAGAAACUCAGUAAGCAGAGUGACUGGGGUUUUUCUUGUUGUUUUGUUGGUUUGGAUUUUGUAUUUUAAAGCAUCAAAUCCUUCUAGCUAAUAAAAUCCAUAACUGAUUCUCAGGGCUAUCAGAAUAUCACCAACCCAACUUUUUUUUUUUUUUUUUUUUUUUUUUUUUUUUUUUUUUUUUUUUUUUUUGUGACUUACCAAAACACAGUUGGAAUUAUCUUCCUUUUCACAGUUCAGGUGAAACUCCAUCACUUCAACACUACAGAAAGGUACUCGUGCUUCCUUGAACAUAAGAAAACAAUUCAGCCCUGCUCAGUUCAUCAUCAAAACGGACAAUGUUCUGCAACACUGAAAGGAUGCAAAGUUACUCGACAAGUGACAAUGCUAUGCUCACCAGACCAGGUGGGCUGUUUGUCUUUGCAUAGUAAAUAACAUUACAUGUUCUAACUUUAGUCUAUUAUGAACCCAACUUAGGAAAAAUAAAUAAAUCUAUUGUUUUUUUCUGAGUUCAUGCAUUGUCUGCUUCUGCCUGGAUCUAGAAAAGUGCUUCUGUUCAGCUUCCAUUCAUUUCUUGUAUUUGUCAAGUUCAACCUAAUUCAUUUCUUGGUAGUCAUCUUACAGCCCCUGUCAUCAUUCUUUCACCAACUAUGGAAAGUAAUACUCUCCAACAAGUGUCAGAAUAGCUAUUUCAGUUUAAUAAUGGAAAGUUGGUUACAUCUAGUACCCUUAAGGAGAUAAAAACAUAAAAACACUGCAUAAGCAGUGCAAUACCUCUGAUACUUGGAGACCAAUUUCUGUAUCACACUGGAUUUGUGAACUACUAGAGCAUUAUCAAGUUAUUAUCUGGACAACAGCAAAAGUAGCAUUUAAAGCACUUCUCAGUUCCUUGGAUAUCCAUUGUGGAUGGCUGAACUGGGAACUUAAAGACGAAGAUGUAAUAGGUUGCAUCUCUUUCUUCCAUCACUUGUCUUUUUUCUCAUCUUUGAGAUGGGAGAGAGAGCAGGAAGUGAUUUUCGCUUGUUCUACUUCUUCCUAUUCCAUCCUCUCAUGGGGCACCCACUUCAAAAUAAAUGUUUCUUGUGGGGAACUUUGGAAAACCACUCUUUCACAGUUAUGAGAGCAACUACAGUGCAUUAUCCUCUCAGGUUUUGGUUUUCACUUUCUGGCCACAUCAGAAUUCCUUACUACUAAUCAUGUUUUACUUUCUGCAGCUCUCUAUUUACCAAGUUAUGGAAUACAAUUGCAGCACCCAUGUAGUUGUUCACAUGUACCAGAAGGGUUGGUCCCUCAUACUUCUUG
Molecule: long non-coding RNA, 17994 nt
Organism: Gallus gallus (chicken)
Lineage: Eukaryota; Metazoa; Chordata; Aves; Galliformes; Phasianidae
Source: Ensembl